This 253-nucleotide ribosomal RNA is filed under the name uncultured bacterium. Its description in RNAcentral is "partial 16S ribosomal RNA". It matches the Rfam family "Bacterial small subunit ribosomal RNA", at positions 524 to 776 of the family's 1533-position model. The record is from RNAcentral.
UACAGAGGUCUCAAGCGUUGUUCGGAUUCAUUGGGCGUAAAGGGUGCGUAGGCGGCGCGGUAAGUCGGAUGUGAAAUCUCGGAGCUUAACUCCGAAACUGCAUUCGAUACUGCCGUGCUUGAGGACUGGAGAGGAGACUGGAAUUUACGGUGUAGCGGUGAAAUGCGUAGAUAUCGUAAGGAAGACCAGUGGCGAAGGCGGGUCUCUGGACAGUUCCUGACGCUGAGGCACGAAGGCCAGGGGAGCAAACAGG